CCGGCGAUGUCCGAAUGGGGAAACCCAGUGCAAUUCGUUGCACUAUCGUUAACUGAAUACAUAGGUUAACGAGGCGAACCGGGGGAACUGAAACAUCUAAGUACCCCGAGGAAAAGAAAUCAACCGAGAUUCCCCCAGUAGCGGCGAGCGAACGGGGAGCAGCCCAGAGUCUGAAUCAGCUUGUGUGUUAGUGGAACGGUCUGGAAAGUCCGACGGUACAGGGUGAUAGUCCCGUACACCAAAAUGCACAGGUUGUGAACUCGAAGAGUAGGGCGGGACACGUGGUAUCCUGUCUGAAUAUGGGGGGACCAUCCUCCAAGGCUAAAUACUCCUGACUGACCGAUAGUGAACCAGUACCGUGAGGGAAAGGCGAAAAGAACCCCGGCGAGGGGAGUGAAAAAGAACCUGAAACCGUGUACGUACAAGCAGUGGGAGCACCUUCGGGUGUGACUGCGUACCUUUUGUAUAAUGGGUCAGCGACUUAUAUUCUGUAGCAAGGUUAACCGUAUAGGGGAGCCGCAGGGAAACCGAGUCUUAACUGGGCGUUAAGUUGCAGGGUAUAGACCCGAAACCCGGUGAUCUAGCCAUGGGCAGGUUGAAGGUUGGGUAACACUAACUGGAGGACCGAACCGACUAAUGUUGAAAAAUUAGCGGAUGACUUGUGGCUGGGGGUGAAAGGCCAAUCAAACCGGGAGAUAGCUGGUUCUCCCCGAAAGCUAUUUAGGUAGCGCCUCGUGAACUCAUCUUCGGGGGUAGAGCACUGUUUCGGCUAGGGGGUCAUCCCGACUUACCAACCCGAUGCAAACUACGAAUACCGAAGAAUGUUAUCACGGGAGACACACGGCGGGUGCUAACGUCCGUCGUGAAGAGGGAAACAACCCAGACCGCCAGCUAAGGUCCCAAAGUCAUGGUUAAGUGGGAAACGAUGUGGGAAGGCACAGACAGCCAGGAUGUUGGCUUAGAAGCAGCCAUCAUUUAAAGAAAGCGUAAUAGCUCACUGGUCGAGUCGGCCUGCGCGGAAGAUGUAACGGGGCUAAACCAUGCACCGAAGCUGCGGCAGCGACACUAUGUGUUGUUGGGUAGGGGAGCGUUCUGUAAGCCUGCGAAGGUGGCCUGUGAGGGUUGCUGGAGGUAUCAGAAGUGCGAAUGCUGACAUAAGUAACGAUAAAGCGGGUGAAAAGCCCGCUCGCCGGAAGACCAAGGGUUCCUGUCCAACGUUAAUCGGGGCAGGGUGAGUCGACCCCUAAGGCGAGGCCGAAAGGCGUAGUCGAUGGGAAACAGGUUAAUAUUCCUGUACUUGGUGUUACUGCGAAGGGGGGACGGAGAAGGCUAUGUUAGCCGGGCGACGGUUGUCCCGGUUUAAGCAUGUAGGCGGAGGUUCCAGGUAAAUCCGGUACCUUUUAACGCUGAGGUGUGAUGACGAGGCACUACGGUGCUGAAGUAACAAAUGCCCUGCUUCCAGGAAAAGCCUCUAAGCAUCAGGUAACAUUAAAUCGUACCCCAAACCGACACAGGUGGUCAGGUAGAGAAUACCAAGGCGCUUGAGAGAACUCGGGUGAAGGAACUAGGCAAAAUGGUGCCGUAACUUCGGGAGAAGGCACGCUGGUGUGUAGGUGAAGUCCCUGCGGACGGAGCUGAGACCAGUCGAAGAUACCAGCUGGCUGCAACUGUUUAUUAAAAACACAGCACUGUGCAAACACGAAAGUGGACGUAUACGGUGUGACGCCUGCCCGGUGCCGGAAGGUUAAUUGAUGGGGUUAUCCGUAAGGAGAAGCUCUUGAUCGAAGCCCCGGUAAACGGCGGCCGUAACUAUAACGGUCCUAAGGUAGCGAAAUUCCUUGUCGGGUAAGUUCCGACCUGCACGAAUGGCGUAAUGAUGGCCAGGCUGUCUCCACCCGAGACUCAGUGAAAUUGAACUCGCUGUGAAGAUGCAGUGUACCCGCGGCAAGACGGAAAGACCCCGUGAACCUUUACUAUAGCUUGACACUGAACAUUGAGCCUUGAUGUGUAGGAUAGGUGGGAGGCUUUGAAGCGUGGACGCCAGUCUGCGUGGAGCCAACCUUGAAAUACCACCCUUUAAUGUUUGAUGUUCUAACGU
This 2098-nucleotide ribosomal RNA is filed under the name Klebsiella variicola. Its description in RNAcentral is "partial 23S ribosomal RNA". It matches the Rfam family "Bacterial large subunit ribosomal RNA", at positions 104 to 2228 of the family's 2925-position model. The record is from RNAcentral. Lineage: Bacteria; Pseudomonadati; Pseudomonadota; Gammaproteobacteria; Enterobacterales; Enterobacteriaceae.